Molecule: ribosomal RNA, 424 nt
Filed under: uncultured prokaryote
Description: bacterial SSU rRNA
Rfam family: Bacterial small subunit ribosomal RNA
Source: RNAcentral
UGGGGAAUAUUGGACAAUGGGGGAAACCCUGAUCCAGCCAUGCCGCGUGAGUGAAGAAGGCCUUAGGGUUGUAAAGCUCUUUCAGCGGGGAAGAUGAUGACGGUACCCGCAGAAGAAGCCCCGGCUAACUCCGUGCCAGCAGCCGCGGUAAUACGGAGGGGGCUAGCGUUGUUCGGAAUCACUGGGCGUAAAGCGCGCGUAGGCGGUCCGCGUAGUCAGGCGUGAAAGCCCCGGGCUCAACCUGGGAACUGCGCUUGAUACUGGCGGGCUAGAGUACGGGAGAGGGUAGUGGAAUUCCCAGUGUAGAGGUGAAAUUCGUAGAUAUUGGGAAGAACACCAGUGGCGAAGGCGGCUGCCUGGACCGGUACUGACGCUGAGGUGCGAAAGCGUGGGGAGCAAACAGGAUUAGAUACCCCCGUAGUCC